AUGAAAAAUCAAAGAAAUAAACGAAAAAUAAACAACUGGACAUCCUACUCGCAACAUUCUUGUGGAUCGAGCUCUGGAUCUUGGUACUCUUGAUCUGAAAUGGUUAAUGAAAGAGUGAGGUACAUUAGCCCAGUAAGAAUAUCACACCACUUACUCACACAGAAAUAAAAGUUAGUAAAAAUCAUGAAAACAACUAAUGGAGCUCUUAAUUUAAGUAAAUUCGUUUACCAUAAAUAAAAUCAUUUACCGGAUACUUACCAUAACGAGAUUUUC
Molecule: long non-coding RNA, 273 nt
Filed under: Carica papaya (papaya)
Lineage: Eukaryota; Viridiplantae; Streptophyta; Magnoliopsida; Brassicales; Caricaceae
Description: long non-coding RNA (CPAP_LNC016526)
Source: RNAcentral